AACGAACGCUGGCGGCAUGCCUAACACAUGCAAGUCGAACGAGACCUUCGGGUCUAGUGGCGCACGGGUGCGUAACGCGUUGGAACCUGCCCUUAGGUUCGGAAUAACUCCCCGAAAGGGGUGCUAAUACCGGAUAAUGUCUUCGGACCAAAGGUUUAUCGCCUUUGGAUGGGCCCGCGUUGGAUUAGCUUGUUGGUAGGGUAAAAGCCUACCAAGGCGACGAUCCAUAGAUGGUCUGAGAGGAUGAUCAGACACACUGGGACUGAGACACGGCCCAGACUACUACGGGAGGCAGCAGUGGGGAAUAUUGGAAAAUGGGCGAAAGCCUGAUCCAGCAAUGCCGCGUGAGUGAUGAAGGCCUUAGGGUUGUAAAGCUCUUUUACCCGGGAUGAUAAUGACAGUACCGGGAGAAUAAGCUCCGGCUAACUCCGUG
This 433-nucleotide ribosomal RNA is filed under the name uncultured bacterium. Its description in RNAcentral is "partial 16S ribosomal RNA". It matches the Rfam family "Bacterial small subunit ribosomal RNA", at positions 29 to 507 of the family's 1533-position model. The record is from RNAcentral.